AUAGUGAUUGGAAAAAAUGGCAGGUGGACAUGUUUUCCAGGUAUAUUGUCUUAUGUAAUAAUUGAUUUGGGUUAUUUGCAUUUUCAUCUUCCAGAUUUAGUCCACAUAAAAUGUUUUGCUGUUCGACCACCAUAAUAAUGGCAUCUUCCUUGCUUUCCUGCAUAUUUUGAAGUGCCUGUUUUUUUAUAUCUAUUAUGUUCCAUACUUGUCAGCUGCUGAGAAUCCUAGGAGGAAGUAUAUCUGGCUUGAAUAGUUCGGUGGUGAUGAGACAGCAGAUUCUUUUGUCUGCCUAUGGUUGGCUGGCUGACUGAUCUAGGGGCUUUGUGAACAAAAGCAACAGGCAGCCAGGUUUGGGAACCUGAAAAGUGGAAGAAAGUGUUGAAAAUAUCCAGAAAAAGCUAACAUUGAUGAUAUCUAGCCAUCAAAGACAUAAUUUAUAUCACCUGCUCACAUAAUGCUGGCUUCAUCUCGUCUUCCACCGAUGACCUUCACAGAUUGGAAAAGAGGUGUUAUGACUUCUUGAAUUUCCAUGUUCUACACCACCAUCUUCUACAACCUAUCCAGAAAAAGGAUGUGAUGGACUGCUAGAAUAGAUCAUGCUUAGACUGAAAGGAUUAUCAAAAUCAUGAAAUUCAAAGCAGUGUGGAAAUGAAUGAUGGGAAUGCAAAGAUUGUUUCAGAUCUCCUCAAAUUGCAUAAAGGUAUGUUUUC
Pantherophis guttatus is the source of this 710-nucleotide non-coding RNA. The record is from RefSeq and is a predicted model, not a curated record. Lineage: Eukaryota; Metazoa; Chordata; Lepidosauria; Squamata; Colubridae.